RNAcentral lists this unclassified non-coding RNA (307 nucleotides) under plant metagenome. RNAcentral's name for it is "partial contains 5.8S ribosomal RNA, internal transcribed spacer 2, and large subunit ribosomal RNA". The stretch from base 1 to 105 matches the Rfam family "5.8S ribosomal RNA", at positions 50 to 154 of the family's 154-position model. The record is from RNAcentral.
GAAAUGCGAUAAGUAGUGUGAAUUGCAGAAUUUAGCGAAUCAUCGAAUCUUUGAACGCAUAUUGCGCCCCUUGGUAUUCCAUGGGGCAUGCCUGUUCGAGCGUCAUUUCAACCCUCAAGCACUGCUUGGUGUUGGGCGUUUGUCCCGCCUACGCGCGUGGACUCGCCUCAAAGUCAUUGGCAGCUGUUCCCCUUCGGCUCGUAAGCGCAGCACAGUCGGCGCCCGGAGCUCUGGUGGGAUGGCGUCCAGCGAGCUAUAUUUUCAGGCUUGACCUCGGAUCAGGUAGGGAUACCCGCUGAACUUAAGC